ACCUGCCAAAAUUGUCGCUACGGAUAUAGCAAAACUAAUGUAGAAUAAUAAUAAUCAAUUAGGUCGACAACAUAUCCUGUUCUAUUGCGAGAAGAAAGACAAUUUGGUAGAGGUGCUGAUGGUAACAUUGGCGCAAGGAG
This 140-nucleotide non-coding RNA is filed under the name unclassified sequences. The record is from Rfam.